Molecule: transfer RNA, 73 nt
Filed under: Saprospiraceae bacterium
Lineage: Bacteria; Pseudomonadati; Bacteroidota; Saprospiria; Saprospirales; Saprospiraceae
Also listed under: 1 other name
Description: tRNA-Arg
Rfam family: tRNA
About the family: Transfer RNA (tRNA) molecules are approximately 80 nucleotides in length. Their secondary structure includes four short double-helical elements and three loops (D, anti-codon, and T loops).
Source: RNAcentral
GGUCCCGUAGCUCAAUGGAUAGAGCAACAGCCUUCUAAGCUGUCGGCUGCAGGUUCGACCCCUGCCGGGAUCA